Molecule: long non-coding RNA, 708 nt
Organism: Chenopodium quinoa (quinoa)
Lineage: Eukaryota; Viridiplantae; Streptophyta; Magnoliopsida; Caryophyllales; Amaranthaceae
Exons: 3
Source: RefSeq, a predicted model, not a curated record
CCCGGGAAAAUCGUAAUUAAAAAAAAAAAAAAAAAAAAGAAAACCAAACUCUGAAAAAUUGAAACUGACGUUAAAACUUCUCUUUCAUAUUUUUAAGUUCUAACCCUAACUCCCUAAGCCCAAACUGAUUCUCUCAACCUCCCUCAAUCUCAACUUCUCAACGCGGUUGUCCCAACUCGCUCCGGCCACCGCCCACUGCCGACACCUCCCUCAUUCUCUCAGGCGAUGCACACCGAUAAUAUCUGGGAGUGAAGGAAGUCAAGGAACCACGGAUUCUUAUUCUUGCAAUAUGGAGAGCUCUCAAUCCAAACGGUCUGCUUCUUUUUCUGAACAAACGUCACAGCCACUUUAUGAAAAGGAUAUGGAAGAAUUGCAAUCUACUUUGCCUCCUGAUAAGAAGCUAAAAGCGGGGCGGGAAUAUAUAUGGAACAGAAAAAGUAAGAGGAAAGCUGAGUAUUGGAAAUAUUACUUAGAGUACGUCGGGAAUGGAAAACUACGAGCUGAAUGUAAGUUCUGUCCUAAAACUUUUGUUGCUGAUGGUAAUCUUAAUGGUUCAAAAAAUGUUAAAAACCAUGCAGAAUCAUGUCUCGGUAAUCCUAUUAAUAUAGAAAAAGAAAAGGGCAAAGAAAAGCAAACUAAAUUGUAUUUUGAUCAAGAACAUGAGAGUAGUGAAUUAAAGUGUGGGAGUAAGAUUAUUAACUUGAAUGA